GCACCAGCAGAUUGGCCCCGGACUGGAGAAAAAACAAGAAAAAAUGAACUGUCCGAUACCUUCCCACCUACAAAUAAGGGUGAACUCUCUUACAGAGACUAAACCGGGAUGAACCAGGGACGGGUAACGUAACUAACACCACAAUGUUAUUACCUGAUGCAUAUAUAGUGAAUGAUAAAUGUCCAGGUAUUAAACUCAGUAAAGGCAAAGGAAGGGGCCUAAGGAGAGGAUGUUGGACCGGAGCCUUCAAAACAUGCAGGCAAAAAAAAGAAUGGGCAUUUAGAGGGGAAGGAAGGAAGAUUACACAGCCACUACAAUAUCUACACAUAGAUGAUACACCCAACCCUCUGGCAACAUGAAUAUCAACCUCACCCUAACAUUCAACAUACCUAACUAAAUAAGGGAAAUAACCGCAAUGUCAGCCAUUAGACUCACAC
This is a non-coding RNA of Pelobates cultripes (western spadefoot toad), 437 nucleotides long. Lineage: Eukaryota; Metazoa; Chordata; Amphibia; Anura; Pelobatidae. The record is from the annotation of a GenBank genome assembly.